Cherax quadricarinatus is the source of this 814-nucleotide non-coding RNA. The record is from RefSeq and is a predicted model, not a curated record. Lineage: Eukaryota; Metazoa; Arthropoda; Malacostraca; Decapoda; Parastacidae.
GUCAGGCAGUGGGAUAGUUCAGGUAGUGGGAUGGUUCAGGUAGUGGGAUGGUUCAGGUAGUGGGGUGGUUCAGGUAGUGGGGUGGUUCAGGAAGUGGGAUGGUUCAGGAAGUGGGAUGGUUCAGGUAGUGGGAUGGUUCAGGUAGUGGGAUGGUUUUAGGUAGUGGGAUGGUUCAGGUAGUGGGAUGGUUCAGGCAGUGGGAUAGUUCAGGUAGUGGGAUAGUUCAGGUAGUGGGAUGGUUCAGGUAGUGGGUGGUUCAGGUAGUGAGGUGGUUCAGGUAGUGGGGGUGGUUCAGGUAGUGGGAUGGGUCAGGCAGUGGGAUAGUUCAGGUAGUGGGAUGGUUCAGGUAGUGGGGUGGUUCAGGUAGUGGGAUGGUUCAGGUAGUGGGAUGGGUCAGGUAGUGGGAUGGGUCAGGCAGUGGGAUAGUUCAGGUAGUGGGAUGGUUCAGGUAGUGGGGUGGUUCAGGUAGUGAGGUGGUUCAGGUAGUGGGGUGGUUCAGGUAGUAGGAUGAUUCAGGUAGUGGGGUGGUUCAGGUAGUGGGGUGGUUCAGGUAGUGGGUGUGGUUCAGGUAGUGGGGUGGUUCAGGUAGUGGGGUGGUUCAGGUAGUGGGGUGGUUUAGGUAGUGAGGUGGUUCAGGUAGUAGGAUGGUUCAGGUAGUGAGGUGGUUCAGGUAGUGGGAUGGUUCAGGUAGUGGGAUGGUUCAGGUAGUGGGAUGGUUCAGGUAGUGGAGUGGUUCAGGUAGUGGGAUGGUUCAGGUAGUGGGGUGGUUCAGGUAGUGGGAUGGUUCAGGUAGUGGAGUGGUUCAGGUAGGGGG